ACACAUGCAAGUCGAACGGUAACAGGAAGCAGCUUGCUGCUUUGCUGACGAGUGGCGGACGGGUGAGUAAUGUCUGGGAAACUGCCCGAUGGGGGGGGAUAACUACUGGAAACGGUAGCUAAUACCGCAUAACGUCGCAAGACCAAAGAGGGGGACCUUCGGGCCUCUUGCCAUCGGAUGUGCCCAGAUGGGAUUAGCUUGUUGGUGAGGUAACGGCUCACCAAGGCGACGAUCCCUAGCUGGUCUGAGAGGAUGACCAGCCACACUGGAACUGAGACACGGUCCAGACUCCUACGGGAGGCAGCAGUGGGGAAUAUUGCACAAUGGGCGCAAGCCUGAUGCAGCCAUGCCGCGUGUAUGAAGAAGGCCUUCGGGUUGUAAAGUACUUUCAGCGGGGAGGAAGGGGUUAAGGUUAAUAACCUUAGUCAUUGACGUUACCCGCAGAAGAAGCACCGGCUAACUCCGUGCCAGCAGCCGCGGUAAUACGGAGGGUGCAAGCGUUAAUCGGAAUUACUGGGCGUAAAGCGCACGCAGGCGGUCUGUCAAGUCGGAUGUGAAAUCCCCGGGCUCAACCUGGGAACUGCAUUCGAAACUGGCAGGCUUGAGUCUCGUAGAGGGGGGUAGAAUUCCAGGUGUAGCGUGAAAUGCGUAAGAGAUCUGGAGGAUACCGGUGGCGAAGCGCCCCCUGGACGAAGACUGACGCUCAGUGCGAAAGCGUGGGAGCAGCAGAUAGAUACCUGGUAGUCCACGCGUAAACGAUG
Molecule: ribosomal RNA, 761 nt
Filed under: Citrobacter farmeri
Lineage: Bacteria; Pseudomonadati; Pseudomonadota; Gammaproteobacteria; Enterobacterales; Enterobacteriaceae
Description: bacterial SSU rRNA
Rfam family: Bacterial small subunit ribosomal RNA
Source: RNAcentral